GGUAAAGGAGUCACAGACAAGAGCUGUGACCUGAUCUGUGAAUAACUCGGAUGCAAUCCAAUUAGAAACUGCAUAGCAUAAUCCUUCACUCCAUUUCUUUGCACUAUAACAUCUGUAGUUAUCACAUAUACACCAUCGCGCAGGCUAGAAAUCCUUAAAUUCAUCCCAUAGCACACACAAUUUGGUGUAAUAUGCUCCAACAUCAUCCGGGCCUUGCUUUAGAGUAAGAAAUUGUUGCUUAAGUUAAUAGAUUCUAGCCAGAUUACCUUGAGAGAAACGAUCCUUGAGAUCAUUCCAGAUCUGAUAGGCAUCAUCCAAACACAUGAUACUGGAGCUGAUUUCCAGUAUUACAGAAUUUCGUAGCCAUGAGACCACCAUGCUGCUGUUGUAUCGCACCCAUUGUGAAUGCAACAGAUCAGUAGAAGAAGGCCGCGCGAUUGAUCCAUCGACGAAGGCGAUUUUAUUUUUCGCCAUCAGCGUUGUGAUUAACGAUCGGUGCCACUUGUUGUAGUUUGAACCAUUCAACUGUUGUGUAACAAGUUGAAUUCCUGGACUAUCACUAUUCGAAAGGAAAUACAGAAUGGAUUGAUCUUCAUAGGUGGUGUGGCUCUCGCGAAUUAGAAGAUGAUGGUUUAGGAGAAGGAGCCAUGAGAAAUGGAGCAGCGGAAGAUGAAAAUUAAGCUCUGAUACCUGAUGUGUGCGAUUUAGUCGUCUAGAUUUGUGUUGUUUACCGUGUGUUUUAUUUGAUAUUGCACAAGUUCAUUGGAAUUUUGGUGCAGGAUUUGCAUGAAUGGUGAAUGGAAGCCGGUGGAUGCUAAGAGUUGAAGACAGGCGUGAAUUCAAUGAAGUUGGCCAUUCGGAUUAAC
This 866-nucleotide long non-coding RNA is filed under the name Salvia miltiorrhiza (redroot sage). RNAcentral's name for it is "long non-coding RNA (SMIL_LNC013869)". Lineage: Eukaryota; Viridiplantae; Streptophyta; Magnoliopsida; Lamiales; Lamiaceae. The record is from RNAcentral.